AGUUAAUAAGCUUUUAAAGCAUAUAUUUUGAAAAUAUAAGAAAAAGAUUAAAUUCUUUAUUAACUU
RNAcentral lists this transfer RNA (66 nucleotides) under Creontiades dilutus (green mirid). RNAcentral's name for it is "tRNA-Ser". It matches the Rfam family "tRNA". From Rfam's summary of the family: Transfer RNA (tRNA) molecules are approximately 80 nucleotides in length. Lineage: Eukaryota; Metazoa; Arthropoda; Insecta; Hemiptera; Miridae. The record is from RNAcentral.